This 440-nucleotide ribosomal RNA is filed under the name uncultured bacterium. RNAcentral describes it as "partial 16S ribosomal RNA". It matches the Rfam family "Bacterial small subunit ribosomal RNA", at positions 338 to 795 of the family's 1533-position model. The record is from RNAcentral.
CCUACGGGAGGCAGCAGUAGGGAAUAUUGCUCAAUGGGGGAAACCCUGAAGCAGCAACGCCGCGUGGAGGAUGAAGGUUUUCGGAUUGUAAACUCCUUUUGUUAGAGAAGAUAAUGACGGUAUCUAAUGAAUAAGCACCUGCUAACUCCGUGCCAGCAGCCGCUGUAAUACGGAGGGUGCAAGCGUUACUCGGGAUCACUGGGCGGAAAGAGCGCGGAGGCGGGAUAGCAAGUCAGAUGUGAAAUCCUAUGGCUUAACCAUAGAACUGCAUUUGAAACUGUUAUUCUAGAGUAUGGGAGAGGUAGGUGGAAUUCUUGGUGUAGGGGUAAAAUCCGUAGAGAUCAAGAGGAAUACUCAUUGCGAAGGCGACCUGCUAGAACAUAACUGACGCUGAUGGGCGAAAGCGUGGGGAGCAAACAGGAUUAGAUACCCGAGUAGUC